Molecule: ribosomal RNA, 638 nt
Filed under: bacterium 76-L049642-122-014-D10
Lineage: Bacteria
Description: bacterial SSU rRNA
Rfam family: Bacterial small subunit ribosomal RNA
Source: RNAcentral
AGUCGAACGAACCUUUCGGGGUUAGUGGCGGACGGGUGAGUAACACGUGGGAACGUGCCUUUAGGUUCGGAAUAACUCAGGGAAACUUGUGCUAAUACCGAAUGUGCCCUUCGGGGGAAAGAUUUAUCGCCUUUAGAGCGGCCCGCGUCUGAUUAGCUAGUUGGUUGAGGUAAUGGCUCACCAAGGCGACGAUCAGUAGCUGGUCUGAGAGGAUGAUCAGCCACAUUGGGACUGAGACACGGCCCAAACUCCUACGGGAGGCAGCAGUGGGGAAUCUUGCGCAAUGGGCGAAAGCCUGACGCAGCCAUGCCGCGUGAAUGAUGAAGGUCUUAGGAUUGUAAAAUUCUUUCACCGGGGACGAUAAUGACGGUACCCGGAGAAGAAGCCCCGGCUAACUUCGUGCCAGCAGCCGCGGUAAUACGAAGGGGGCUAGCGUUGCUCGGAAUUACUGGGCGUAAAGGGAGCGUAGGCGGACAUUUAAGUCAGGGGUGAAAUCCCGGGGCUCAACCUCGGAAUUGCCUUUGAUACUGGGUGUCUUGAGUAUGAGAGAGGUGUGUGGAACUCCGAGUGUAGAGGUGAAAUUCGUAGAUAUUCGGAAGAGCACCAGUGGCGAAGGCGACACACUGGCUCAUUACUGA